Molecule: transfer RNA, 78 nt
Filed under: Desulfurococcales archaeon ex4484_42
Lineage: Archaea; Thermoproteati; Thermoproteota; Thermoprotei; Desulfurococcales
Also listed under: 1 other name
Description: tRNA-His
Rfam family: tRNA
About the family: Transfer RNA (tRNA) molecules are approximately 80 nucleotides in length. Their secondary structure includes four short double-helical elements and three loops (D, anti-codon, and T loops).
Source: RNAcentral
GCCGCCGUAGCUCAGCGUGGUUAGAGCGCGGGGCUGUGGACCCCGAGGUCCCGGGUUCAAGUCCCGGCGGCGGCCCCA